This 1048-nucleotide long non-coding RNA is filed under the name Nicotiana benthamiana. RNAcentral's name for it is "long non-coding RNA (NBEN_LNC025245)". The record is from RNAcentral. Lineage: Eukaryota; Viridiplantae; Streptophyta; Magnoliopsida; Solanales; Solanaceae.
AUGUUCCAUGUAAGCUCGAAGGUUCAGGCUCAUAGUUCCUAUGGCUUUUAUUUACCUCUAAAACUCCAGUCUUUGAAUGGCUUGAAAUAAUUGGAAGUGUCUUAAGCUGAUUUUGAAUCUAUUAAUCACUUUGCCUAUUAUUUUUUAUGUCUACGAUUGAGAAUUCCAACCCCCAGUAGGAAGAAUGAGGUAUCAAAGAGAGAAAUGGGAUUUUCAGUAAAGGGUGGUUGCCCUCUCUUAUUUGAUUUUGUCUUGCUUGUGUUUCUAAUUUUAUCUUUGUUUCUUAAUGCAGCUUUCCCAUUUUUACUCUACUCGCCGAGGGUCGAUUGGAAGCAGCCUCUCUGCCCUUUCGGGCAGGGGUAAGGCUCGUCUACAUANNNNNNNNNNNNNNNNNNNNNNNNNNNNNNNNNNUUUCGGGCAGGGGUAAGGCUCGUCUACAUAUUACCCUCCCCAGACCCCACCUGGUGGGAGUAUACUGGGUAGUUGUUGUUGUUGUUGUUGUUGUUGAGAAUACUCUACCAACUGAUAAGAUUGUGUUUCCUGGAUGCCAAGACUAACUACUAAGCUCCUUCAUAUUUUCCUAAGAAAAAAGUGCAGAAAGAUGGCAUUAAUAUAGUUUGAUGUUUGAUCAGGUCAGUUUUAGGCUGCGACAAAUUGCAAAUUUAUAAAUAGUGCAGUAUAUCUGAUUCAAAAUUUCAUUUAUUAGUACCCUCUUGAUGUCAUUGAGCAUUAGGAGGCAAAAACGGAUCUGGGAUUUAAACGUGAUUGGUUCAACCUUUGAAGUUUUUAACACUGAAUUUAUUGUGCAUUUGAAACUAUGUGUAGCAAAACUCCUAAACAGGCUUCACAUCCAUCCUUUCCCCUUUUUUAUUUAGUUUGUCUGGCAAUGGGUGCAGGGAUGUUUCCCGGGGGGAGGGAGAUGUUAGCAUGGUUAGACCUUUGUGUUUAGAUUAAGAGCGGACCUUACUGAAUUGCUUAUUCAUGUUUCAUUUCUAAAACAAAAAUAAAUGACUUUAGUAAUGGAGUAUGUCUUUUGUAUAUCUAUACC